This 1497-nucleotide ribosomal RNA is filed under the name metagenome. Its description in RNAcentral is "bacterial SSU rRNA". It matches the Rfam family "Bacterial small subunit ribosomal RNA". The record is from RNAcentral.
AGAGUUUGAUCAUGGCUCAGAAUGAACGCUGGCGGCGUGCCUAACACAUGCAAGUCGAACGAGAAAGGUAGCAAUACUGAGUACAGUGGCGCACGGGUGAGUAAUACGUGAGAAUCUGCCUCUGAGUGGAGAAUACCUUCGAGAAAUCGAAGUUAAUACUGCAUAAGCCCGCAAGGGGAAAGGUGGCCUAAAAGCUACCGCUGAGAGAUGAGCUUGCGUCCUAUUAGCUAGUUGGUGGGGUAAAGGCCUACCAAGGCAAAGAUGGGUAGCCGGCCUGAGAGGGUGAUCGGCCACACUGGAACUGAGACACGGUCCAGACUCCUACGGGAGGCAGCAGUGGGGAAUAUUGCACAAUGGGCGAAAGCCUGAUGCAGCGACGCCGCGUGGAGGAUGAAGGUUUUCGGAUUGUAAACUCCUGUUAAGUGGGAAGAAAGACUCAUACCUAAUACGUAUGGGGGAUGACGGUACCACUAGAGAAAGCACCGGCAAACUUCGUGCCAGCAGCCGCGGUAAUACGAAGGGUGCGAGCGUUAUUCGGAAUAACUGGGUGUAAAGAGUGUGUUGGCGGUUUCUUAAGUCAGUUGUUAAAGCGCUCGGCUUAACCGGGCAAAUGCGAUUGAAACUGGGAGACUAGAGUAUGGGAGAGAAAGGUAGAAUUCUCGGAGUAGCGGUAAAAUGCGUAGAUCUCGAGAGGAAUACCGGUUGCGAAGGCGGCCUUUUGGCCCAUUACUGACGCUUAAGCACGAAAGCGUGGGGAGCAAACAGGAUUAGAUACCCUGGUAGUCCACGCCGUAAACGAUGAUCACUAGAUGUGGGUUUUGCAUAGCAGAAUCUGUGUCGUAGCUAACGCGUUAAGUGAUCCACCUGGGGAGUACGGUCGCAAGAUUAAAACUCAAAGGAAUUGACGGGGGUCCGCACAAGCGGUGGAACAUGUGGUUUAAUUCGACACUACGCGAGGAACCUUACCUGGGUUUGACAUGUAAUCGCUACUGGUGGAAACAUUGGGUUCCGUAGCAAUACGGACGGUUACACAGGUGCUGCAUGGCUGUCGUCAGCUCGUGUCGUGAGACGUCGGGUUAAGUCCUUGAACGAGCGCAACCCUUGCCGUUAGUUGCAAGACCGAAAGGUAUGCACUCUAGCGGGACUGCCUAGGAAACUAGGAGGAAGGUGGGGAUGACGUCAAGUCCUCAUGGCCCUUAUGCCCAGGGCUACACACGUGUUACAAUGGCGAGGAACAGAGGGAUGCAAGACCGCGAGGUGGAGCAAAUCCCAUAAAACUCGUCUAAGUUCAGAUUGUAGUCUGCAACCCGACUACAUGAAGCUGAAAUCGCUAGUAAUCGCAUAUCAGAACGAUGCGGUGAAUACGUUCUCGGACCUUGUACACACCGCCCGUCACACCACGAAAGCCGUCUACACCCGAAAUUGUCUAAGCUAACCGUAAAAGGGGGCGGAUAAUGAAGGUGAGGAGGGUGAUUGGGGUGAAGUCGUAACAAGGUA